ACGCUGGCGGCAGGCCUAACACAUGCAAGUCGAGCGGUAGAGAGAAGCUUGCUUCUCUUGAGAGCGGCGGACGGGUGAGUAAUGCCUAGGAAUCUGCCUGGUAGUGGGGGAUAACGCUCGGAAACGGACGCUAAUACCGCAUACGUCCUACGGGAGAAAGCAGGGGACCUUCGGGCCUUGCGCUAUCAGAUGAGCCUAGGUCGGAUUAGCUAGUUGGUGAGGUAAUGGCUCACCAAGGCGACGAUCCGUAACUGGUCUGAGAGGAUGAUCAGUCACACUGGAACUGAGACACGGUCCAGACUCCUACGGGAGGCAGCAGUGGGGAAUAUUGGACAAUGGGCGAAAGCCUGAUCCAGCCAUGCCGCGUGUGUGAAGAAGGUCUUCGGAUUGUAAAGCACUUUAAGUUGGGAGGAAGGGCAGUAAAUUAAUACUUUGCUGCUUUGACGUUACCGACAGAAUAAGCACCGGCUAACUCUGUGCCAGCAGCCGCGGUAAUACAGAGGGUGCAAGCGUUAAUCGGAAUUACUGGGCGUAAAGCGCGCGUAGGUGGUUUGUUAAGUUGGAUGUGAAAUCCCCGGGCUCAACCUGGGAACUGCAUUCAAAACUGACAAGCUAGAGUAUGGUAGAGGGUGGUGGAAUUUCCUGUGUAGCGGUGAAAUGCGUAGAUAUAGGAAGGAACACCAGUGGCGAAGGCGACCACCUGGACUGAUACUGACACUGAGGUGCGAAAGCGUGGGGAGCAAAC
Molecule: ribosomal RNA, 745 nt
Filed under: uncultured bacterium
Lineage: Bacteria
Description: bacterial SSU rRNA
Rfam family: Bacterial small subunit ribosomal RNA
Source: RNAcentral